GUGCUGGACCUAGCAGCGCGCCUCCUAAAACUGGCACUUGAGAGAAGAUGAGCAGGGCUCCGGUGCAGCAAUGACUUGGGAAUUCACAAAGCAUUCCACAUUUUU
RNAcentral lists this small nuclear RNA (105 nucleotides) under Mesocricetus auratus (golden hamster). The record is from RNAcentral. Lineage: Eukaryota; Metazoa; Chordata; Mammalia; Rodentia; Cricetidae.